Molecule: ribosomal RNA, 434 nt
Filed under: uncultured Lachnospiraceae bacterium
Lineage: Bacteria; Bacillati; Bacillota; Clostridia; Lachnospirales; Lachnospiraceae
Description: bacterial SSU rRNA
Rfam family: Bacterial small subunit ribosomal RNA
Source: RNAcentral
ACGGAAGGCAGCAGUGGGGAAUAUUGCACAAUGGGGGAAACCCUGAUGCAGCGACGCCGCGUGAGCGAAGAAGUAUUUCGGUAUGUAAAGCUCUAUCAGCAGGGAAGAAAAUGACGGUACCUGACUAAGAAGCCCCGGCUAACUACGUGCCAGCAGCCGCGGUAAUACGUAGGGGGCAAGCGUUAUCCGGAUUUACUGGGUGUAAAGGGUGCGUAGACGGUUUGGCAAGUCAGAAGUGAAAUCCCGGGGCUUAACUCCGGUGCUGCUUUUGAAACUGUCAGACUAGAGUGCUGGAGGGGCAAGCGGAAUUCCUGGUGUAGCGGUGAAAUGCGUAGAUAUCAGGAGGAACACCGGUGGCGAAGGCGGCUUGCUGGACAGUAACUGACGUUGAGGCACGAAAGCGUGGGGAGCAAACAGGAUUAGAUACCCUGGUA